AUGGAAAAAACAAGCAAAAGGCUUGCUAUGAGGUUGGUGAAAUGGGCAAGCACAUUGUUCAUGGUGAUGCGGUUGGGAAUGAUGAUGACUCAUCUGAUGACAACCAUCCUGAGAGUGGCAUGAGAGUGGCUGAAAACAUCAAGACACUUGCAUGUAAUAGGAAAGUAAAGACUGCAACACCAUAUGGGCAGAAAACAGCACAUACUGCAGCCCAGGCUGGCACAUCGAGAUGUCGACACCUACCCAUCACGGCUCGGUCAGAGCCACCUCUACCUCAUCGCCCAGGCACCCGUCUCUUCCAAGCAGCCCACAACAGGAAUACAGGU
Long non-coding RNA from Panicum virgatum (switchgrass), 326 nucleotides. RefSeq lists it as uncharacterized. The transcript is spliced from 3 exons. The record is from RefSeq and is a predicted model, not a curated record. NCBI's taxonomy places the organism in Eukaryota, Viridiplantae, Streptophyta, Magnoliopsida, Poales, Poaceae.